AAUCCUAAUAAUGCGUGCCUGGUACCUACCUCUACCAUGGGGUAAUCCUAAUAAUACAUGCCUGGUACCUACCUCUACCAUGGGCUAAUCCUAAUAAUGCAUGCCUGGUACCUACCUCUACCAUGGGCUAAUCCUAAUAAUGCGUGCCUGGUACCUACCUCUACCAUGGGCUAAUCCUAAUAAUGCGUGCUUGGUACCUACCUCUACCAUGGCGUAUCCUUGCCAGUCAUACAGCUCACAUAUAG
Non-coding RNA from Pelobates cultripes (western spadefoot toad), 245 nucleotides. The record is from the annotation of a GenBank genome assembly. NCBI's taxonomy places the organism in Eukaryota, Metazoa, Chordata, Amphibia, Anura, Pelobatidae.